CAAAGAGCCAUAAAGCCCUGGGAGAUGAGGAGUGGAUGGCAAGGCUUAGGGGAUUUUCCAGCGUUGGGGUUUGGCCGUCAAAUGCAGGGAAUAGACCUGCCCCGAGGCAGAAGAAGUGGCAUGCUCUCUAUCAGAAGGACCCCUAGCCUGGCACGUUCCUCUGUGAGAACCUCUGGCCCCUUUCCAUCCUCUGUGAGGACCCCUAGCCUGGCACCUUCCUCUGUGAGGACUUCUGGCCCCUCUCCAUCCUCUGUGAGGACCCCUAGCCUGGCACCUUCCUCUGUGAGGACCUCUGUCCCCACCUUGGCCCCUCUCCAUCCUCUGUGAGGACCCCUAGCCUGGCUUCAUCAUCCACAACACCGACACACAUCUGCCAGACAGUUUCACCUGAGGAGCCUGCAGCGUGUGUGCAACAGUCAGAUGCAGCUGGUGAUGCAGGACCUGGCUGGUUGCCGAGUGAGAUGAGGAAGACCAUUCCUGUACAGGACCAGAGAUGGAUGGGAAAUACCCUCUUUCAUGCCGGCAAAGUGCGCCCAGAUUUCAAGUUGUGGUAUGAGCCUCCUGUACCAGCCCUCACCUACCACCAGGUACCAACACCCGAUUGUUUUUUUACCCACCGGCUUCUGGUGUGGAUGCCCUAUCAUCAGUGGAAAGUUAGGGUGUUCUGCAAAGCUUGUGGGAAGCAUCUUACGGGGGCUGGUGUUCCACCACAUGCUCCGGCUCUGGCUCCCACUAAAGCACCCCGAAAACUGACCCACAAGGU
Molecule: long non-coding RNA, 763 nt
Organism: Girardinichthys multiradiatus
Lineage: Eukaryota; Metazoa; Chordata; Actinopteri; Cyprinodontiformes; Goodeidae
Exons: 3
Source: RefSeq, a predicted model, not a curated record